UGUCGUCAGCUCGUGUUGUGAAAUGUUGGGUUAAGUCCCGCAACGAGCGCAACCCUUAUCCUUUGUUGCCAGCGGUCCGGCCGGGAACUCAAAGGAGACUGCCAGUGAUAAACUGGAGGAAGGUGGGGAUGACGUCAAGUCAUCAUGGCCCUUACGACCAGGGCUACACACGUGCUACAAUGGCGCAUACAAAGAGAAGCGACCUCGCGAGAGCAAGCGGACCUCAUAAAGUGCGUCGUAGUCCGGAUUGGAGUCUGCAACUCGACUCCAUGAAGUCGGAAUCGCUAGUAAUCGUGGAUCAGAAUGCCACGGUGAAUACGUUCCCGGGCCUUGUACACACCGCCCGUCACACCAUGGGAGUGGGUUGCAAAAGAAGUAGGUAGCUUAACCUUCAGGAGGGCGCUUACCACUUUGUGAUUCAUGACUGGGGUGAAGUCGUAACAAGGUAACCGUAGGGGAACCUGCGGUUGGAUCACCUCCUUACCUUAAAGAAGC
Molecule: ribosomal RNA, 495 nt
Filed under: Escherichia coli
Lineage: Bacteria; Pseudomonadati; Pseudomonadota; Gammaproteobacteria; Enterobacterales; Enterobacteriaceae
Description: bacterial SSU rRNA
Rfam family: Bacterial small subunit ribosomal RNA
Source: RNAcentral